Long non-coding RNA from Brassica napus (rape), 365 nucleotides. RefSeq lists it as uncharacterized. NCBI's taxonomy places the organism in Eukaryota, Viridiplantae, Streptophyta, Magnoliopsida, Brassicales, Brassicaceae. The record is from RefSeq and is a predicted model, not a curated record. The transcript is spliced from 2 exons.
CUGAUCAGAAACCAUUAUUUUCUCAACAUCUAAAACAAUGGAAAAGAUAUCAAUGAAGUUUGCUCUUGUUAUUUUCUUAGUUGCUGCAUCCGUGGUGAGUAUUGAGGCAACACGGUUAUUAACCGAAGAAGCUCUUGAGACUGUUUUCCUUGGUGAAUCUUUGCCGCAUGGUGAGGAAAAAAAUCAUUUUGGAUCUCUCUUGCACUGCCAGAAAGGGUGGCAUGUGGGAUGUUAUACCGUUCCUCCUGCUGAUUAUGUAACAUGUACUUGUUUUCACGACUAAUCUGAUCCUUCUUAAUCGAAUCGUCAAAGAAUAAUGUGCUUUUCUAAUAUUAAUGAAAAACUGGGCCAGUUAUGUUCUAUCA